This 492-nucleotide ribosomal RNA is filed under the name uncultured bacterium. RNAcentral's name for it is "partial 16S ribosomal RNA". It matches the Rfam family "Bacterial small subunit ribosomal RNA", at positions 29 to 507 of the family's 1533-position model. The record is from RNAcentral.
AGUGAACGCUGGCGGUAGGCCUAACACAUGCAAGUCGAACGGCAGCACAGUAAGAGCUUGCUCUUACGGGUGGCGAGUGGCGGACGAGUGAGGAAUACAUCGGAAUCUACUUUUUCGUGGGGGAUAACGUAGGGAAACUUACGCUAAUACCGCAUACGACCUACGGGUGAAAGCAGGGGAUCUUCGGACCUUGCGCGAUUGAAUGAGCCGAUGUCGGAUUAGCCAGUUGGCGGGGUAAAGGCCCACCAAGGCGACGAUCCGUAGCUGGUCUGAGAGGAUGAUCAGCCACACUGGAACUGAGACACGGUCCAGACUCCUACGGGAGGCAGCAGUGGGGAAUAUUGGACAAUGGGCGCAAGCCUGAUCCAGCCAUACCGCGUGGGUGAAGAAGGCCUUCGGGUUGUAAAGCCCUUUUGUUGGGAAAGAAAAGCAGCAGGUUAAUACCCCGCUGUUCUGACGGUACCCAAAGAAUAAGCACCGGCUAACUUCGUG